GAUGAACGCUGGCGGCGUGCCUAAUACAUGCAAGUCGAGCGAACAGACGAGGAGCUUGCUCCUCUGACGUUAGCGGCGGACGGGUGAGUAACACGUGGAUAACCUACCUAUAAGACUGGGAUAACUUCGGGAAACCGGAGCUAAUACCGGAUAAUAUAUUGAACCGCAUGGUUCAAUGGUGAAAGACGGUUUUGCUGUCACUUAUAGAUGGAUCCGCGCCGCAUUAGCUAGUUGGUAAGGUAACGGCUUACCAAGGCAACGAUGCGUAGCCGACCUGAGAGGGUGAUCGGCCACACUGGAACUGAGACACGGUCCAGACUCCUACGGGAGGCAGCAGUAGGGAAUCUUCCGCAAUGGGCGAAAGCUUGACGGAGCAACGCCGCGUGAGUGAUGAAGGUCUUCGGAUCGUAAAACUCUGUUAUUAGGGAAGAACAAAUGUGUAAGUAACUAUGCACGUCUUGACGAUACCUAAUCAGAAAGCCACGGCUAACUACGUG
This 497-nucleotide ribosomal RNA is filed under the name uncultured bacterium. RNAcentral describes it as "partial 16S ribosomal RNA". It matches the Rfam family "Bacterial small subunit ribosomal RNA", at positions 28 to 507 of the family's 1533-position model. The record is from RNAcentral.